AUGCUCACUUCGGUAGCACAUAUACUAAACUGGAAACAGUACAGAGAAGAUUAGCAUGGCCCCUGUGCAAGGAUGACAUGCAAAUUUGUGACACGUUCCAUAUUUUC
Small nuclear RNA from Myotis daubentonii (Daubenton's bat), 107 nucleotides. The record is from RefSeq and is a predicted model, not a curated record. Lineage: Eukaryota; Metazoa; Chordata; Mammalia; Chiroptera; Vespertilionidae.